GCAUAUCAAUAAGCGGAGGAAAAGAAACCAACAGGGAUUGCCCUAGUAACGGCGAGUGAAGCGGCAACAGCUCAAAUUUGAAAUCUGGCGUCUUUGGCGUCCGAGUUGUAAUUUGCAGAGGGCGCUUUGGCAUUGGCAGCGGUCCAAGUUCCUUGGAACAGGACGUCACAGAGGGUGAGAAUCCCGUACGUGGUCGCUAGCCUUUACCGUGUAAAGCCCCUUCGACGAGUCGAGUUGUUUGGGAAUGCAGCUCUAAAUGGGAGGUAAAUUUCUUCUAAAGCUAAAUACUGGCCAGAGACCGAUAGCGCACAAGUAGAGUGAUCGAAAGAUGAAAAGCACUUUGGAAAGAGAGUUAAAAAGCACGUGAAAUUGUUGAAAGGGAAGCGCUUGCAGCCAGACUUGCCUGUAGUUGCUCAUCCGGGUUUUUACCCGGUGCACUCUUCUACGGGCAGGCCAGCAUCAGUUUGGGCGGUUGGAUAAAGGUCUCUGUCAUGUACCUCUCUUCGGGGAGAACUUAUAGGGGAGACGACAUGCAACCAGCCUGGACUGAGGUCCGCGCAUCUGCUAGGAUGCUGGCGUAAUGGCUGUAAGCGGCCCGUCUUGAAACACGGACCAAGGAGUCUAACAUCUAUGCGAGUGUUUGGGUGUCAAGCCCGAGCGCGUAAUGAAAGUGAACGGAGGUGGGAACCUUUCGGGGUGCACCAUCGACCGAUCCUGAUGUCUUCGGAUGGAUUUGAGUAAGAGCAUAGCUGUUGGGACCCGAAAGAUGGUGAACUAUGCUUGAAUAGGGUGAAGCCAGAGGAAACUCUGGUGGAGGCUCGCAGCGGUUCUGACGUGCAAAUCGAUCGUCAAAUUUGGGCAUAGGGGCGAAAGACUAAUCGAACUAUCUAGUAGCUGGUUCCUGCCG
This 907-nucleotide ribosomal RNA is filed under the name Microsphaeropsis hellebori. RNAcentral's name for it is "partial large subunit ribosomal RNA". It matches the Rfam family "Eukaryotic large subunit ribosomal RNA", at positions 38 to 963 of the family's 3401-position model. The record is from RNAcentral. Lineage: Eukaryota; Fungi; Ascomycota; Dothideomycetes; Pleosporales; Didymellaceae.